RNAcentral lists this ribosomal RNA (465 nucleotides) under uncultured bacterium. Its description in RNAcentral is "bacterial SSU rRNA". It matches the Rfam family "Bacterial small subunit ribosomal RNA", at positions 339 to 793 of the family's 1533-position model. The record is from RNAcentral.
GUACGGGAGGCAGCAGUGGGGGAAUAUUGCGCAAUGGACGAAAGUCUGACGCAGCGACGCCGCGUGGAGGAUGAAGGUUUUCGGAUCGUAAACUCCUGUCAAGAGGGAAGAAACCUAUCAUGAAUAAUACUUAUGGUAAUUGACGGUACCUCUAGAGGAAGCACCGGCUAAUUCAGUGCCAGCAGCCGCGGUAAUACUGAAGGUGCAAGCGUUAAUCGGAAUCACUGGGCGUAAAGCGCUCGUAGGUGGCUUUGUAAGUCAGGUGUGAAAGCCCACGGCUCAACCGUGGAAUUGCACUUGAUACUGCAUCGCUAGAGUAUAGGAGAGGGAAGUGGAAUUUCUGGUGUAGGAGUGAAAUCCGUAGAGAUCAGAAGGAACACCCGUGGCGAAGGCGACUUCCUGGACUAUUACUGACACUGAGGAGCGAAAGCGUGGGGAGCAAACAGGAUUAGAUACCCCUGGUAG